UUCCCACUUUCAGAGACGACGAUGAGAUCCGGAUAGGAGAGAACAUUGAGUUAGAAAUCCAGAAAGCAAUUCAAGAAUCAAAAUCAUCUAUUAUUGUGUUUUCUAAAAACUACUCUUCUUCAAGAUGGUGUCUUGAUGAACUCUUGAUGAUCAUGGAACGUAGAAGAACUGUUGGGCACUUAGUGUUCCCAGUUUUCUACGAUGUUGAUCCAUCUGAGGUGGGGAACCAAACAGGACAAUUUGGUGAAGAAUUUGCUAAGCUUGAAAUACGCUUCAAGGAUCAGAUGGAGAGGGUGGAGGGAUGGAGAAGGGCUCUUAAGGAAGCUGCGAACAUGGAAAGGAUGGUUCUGGAAGACAGGUACUGACUUCUUCUUUUUUAAUUUCUUCGAAAUUUGUUUCAUUGAUAGCUUAUAUUUUUGAAUCAGCUGAGCAUUUAGGAAUGCGUAAUUUGACCUCGAUCGUUCGAUACUCAAACAUGGCUAAGAUUUUCAAUUUUAGGCUCUAGGAGAAUGCUUAACAUCAUUGAAAUAUGACGCAUGUUGAGCCACAUAGCUAGGGUAUUGUUUUUUCUUGCUAAUCAACAUGUGAAAAGACAUUCAAUUACUUGGAACCAUGGCUUCACGAGACAAACACAGCCAACUAUCCUAGGGAAAAGAGUUCGACCAGAAUGAAAGAAAUCUUGCAUUUUACUAGAGAAAUGAAGACAUUGAAGGGAUAUUCUUGGACAUUUCAAAGAUUAGUUCUGAGAUUAAGUAAGGAAGUGCAAACUUAGAUCGCUCAAAAUUUAUUAUUCUGGAGUUAAAAAUCACUGAAAAGUACCUUAGCAACUGUGAGCACCUUUCAAAUACCAGAUUUUUCAAAGGAUAGAAACCUUGAGAGAUUGAAUUUCCAAUUUUGUACAAGUUUCUUAUCUCUCUUACGAGUGGAAGUUGUUCAAGACUUCUUAUCUCUUAACCUUUCUAGUUGUUAAAAUAUCAAUAAGAAAGCAUGCAAUUGGGACCAAUAUAUAAUCAAGCUAUUGAAAAUGUUAGGUCGGUGAUUGAUGCCCAAACACACAACAAAACAAUUUAACGUGGCUUGGCAAUUUGCCUAUGUCCAUGGAGCAGCCAAUUUCAUUAUAUAGAGAGAAAAAUACAAUCUACAACAAUGAAGGAGGAGGAACACCUCACUCAACUCCCUCUCUUCGUAAUUGCCUUACAUUUCUCUUAUCCCUCUGCGCUUGCUACUGCAAGCUGCUACAUUUUACUGCUUUCUUUUGGCCCUCACACAACCUCUAUUUUAUAGUGGAAAUGGGGGAACAUCCAUCCCUCCUCCACUUAACUCUCCCACUUUAUGAUAUUUGAUAAAAAAAUUUUAGGAAACUGCAAUUUUGUUAUCUUUCCGAUUUGCUUACAAGCCUUAACUUCAAUAGUCAUGGUGCUAGACUGCUAGUAAUCUCAUUACUGAAACCUAACUCUGCCUUGAUUUCAUUACUGAAACUAUAAUCACAAACAGCGUUGUCUCUUUCAAAAAAAAGAUAAAAAAAAUGAAGUGGUCUGCAUAUGUGCACUAGUCAUUGUAGAACUCUUUCCUAAUCCAAUUGAAGUAGGGAUGAGCUAGUGUAUCAAUUACUAUUGUAGUAUUGUCUCUCCAUUCAUUAGGCAUCUUCCAAACACAUCCAUAGAAUUCUUCUUGCUUGCUUCAUUUUCUCUAAAUUAUUGAUAAUUGUGUGACAUGUUUAUCCAUAACUUAAUAACACCACCAUCUAACUUAAAAGUUAUUUAAACAGAAACUGGAACUGAGGACGAUAAACAAGGGCUGGUUUGUUAGAUUAGCCUCAAGUCAAAUGUAAUUAUUUUUGUUUUUCAUGCUUUUUCGAAAAAGCCGACCAAAUACAUUCAAUCCUACCAUUAGGAUUACUUAAACAUUCUGAUGGUAUAUCCAUCGCAAACACCACUGCUAGAAAUCAUGGUAUCACCUCAUGCUGGCCAUUUAUUUAUCGUAUAUAUAAGCUAAGCUGGUGAAGUUGCAUAAGGACAGCCAUAAAACUAGAACUAACUGAAACAAAAGCUCAAAACAGGCUAAAUUGUAAUGAUCAUGGAUGCUUGGAGGGCACAUUUUGCUGCCCAUAUUUUACCAUUUGGGUUCAUCUGAAGUUAGGAACCAGGAAGGGAGAUAUCAUGAAGCGUUUUCGUCACACGAGCAAGGCUUCCAGGUUGAGAUGGAGAGGGUGGAAGAGUGAAGGGCAGCUCUUAGAGAAGCUGCAGAUGGCAGGGAUGGUUCUACAGAACUGGUUCGUCAUAUUCCUGUUUCCUCCUGAUUCUAGUAAUACCUAGGCAACACAAGUUAAGGAAGACGUUCUUUUUAGGUAAUAAACUUUUAAGCAGGCAAGGACAGAGCAAUUUAUUUUCAGGAGCAAUCCUAGUUCUUAAGCAUUCUGAAUUAGACAAUCUAAUCAUUGGUCAAAAGCUCCCUACAGGUUAGCACCAAAGGAUGAACACAAUCAGCCUAGAAAAAAUUGAAAUAAAGAAAGCUUGAGACCAAAAACCCAAUCCCAAACUACAGGAGCAAUCUGAUGCUUGUAUUUGACAAGUAUCCACAAGAUCUACCCUAUCAGGACGGAUCAUAGGCCGUACAGGCUUUGGUAUUGGUAAUUCCUAGGCAUAGCUUCUCUUUCCCUUUUGUUUUGUCGGUAUCUCAUGGAGAAAUUAGUAGUUGGGCCUUCUAUAGUGUCAAAAUAAAAAUUACCGGCCUCAAACGGGUAAAAAAAGAUUCUGGCCGGGAAAAGAAUUUUAAUUUUAAAAGCGCAAAAUGGUUUUAUGUGUUCAAAUUAUGUGUUUUUUUUUACUUAAAAAUAUAUAUAAAAAAUUUAAGCUUGAUAAGAUUUUUAGUAUCAGAUUAAUUUUGGUUUUUGAAGUGGUUUUCUACUUUUUUUGAAGGUCAAAGAUUAGUUUGAUAAGAUUUUUAGAUUGUUUUCUAGGUGUUUUAGAUAAAAAAAAUAAGUUGAAAAUAGGUUUUUAGAAGGAGAAAACAACAACUUUUUUUUUUGAAUCAUUAGGGAAUUUUAGAUGAUAUGUUGUCUAUUUUUUUCAACAAAAACUCAUUCGCUCCGUUAACUUAAAAAAGAAUAAAGACUCGUGUAUGUGGGCUUGUCAUCCACCUCAUUCACAUAAAAAAAAAUUAAGAGUUGCGCUCAGGGCCUAACCUUGUAGGUCUAUGUUGGGCCCUUUUUUCAUGGGCCGGAUACUUGGCUUGUUGCUUACUAAGCCCAUCAACGUCUUGAUUGUUUUGUUUUUAAUUUUGUUUUUUAAUUAAAAAAAUUUUUAAAAUGAUUUUUUAAAUUUGUGUUUUACUUUUAUUUUCUUUUUUUUAUAUAGCCUUUUUUUAAAUAGAAAUUAUUUUUUAAUUAUAUUGGAUGUGUUUAAUUUUUAAAGGGGUUGAUAAUGUAAUUUUUUUUAAUAUUUUAUUUUUAAAUUUGUUUUAAAAAUGAAAAAUAUUUAUUUUUAUAAUAUUUUAAUGUACAGCCUUGCAUAAUAUUUAUUUUUUUUAUUUUAUUCAAUAAAUUUUAUGUGUGUGUUGAUUUCUAUUACAAAUUGAUUUUAAUAAAUAAAUUCAUCAAACACAACCAUGUAAAUAACUCGUUAAAUAUAUUUGUCUUGAUUUUUCAAUUUUAUUUUUAUUUAUUGUUAAUGACUUUUGUAUCAUUUAUUUACACAACUAUUCUUGAUUUAUUUAAUUCAAUAUGUGCAUAAGUUUCUCGAUUUAUAUUUAGAAAUUUUUUAUGUAAAAAACAUGUUGAAGAAUUUUACAUGUUUAUUUUUUUUUAUCAUAUAUUGAUGUUUUCAAUUUGAUUUUUAUUCUUUGGAUUUGUGAUUUUUUUCUCGACCCUUUUAUUGUUUUUAAUUUCACCAUUCAAUUUAAGUUAAUGCAUUUUUUUUCUAUUUCGAUUUUCAUUCUUUUGAUUUUUUUUCUUUUGUUAAUAUUUUUAUUCUUUUCAAUUUAACUUUCAAAUGGAUAAAUUGUUGUUGCCCUUUAAUUUAUUUUUUAAUUUUCAUCUUAACCCUUAUUUUUUUAAUUGCUAUUUUUUUAAAAAAAUUUGUGUAAUUUUUUUUUUGAUUUCAUCAUUUAACGUUUCAUUUACAAGGGAUUGAGCUUCAUAAUUCUUUUUUGUAUAGUGUUUUUAAUCAGAGAACUCGGGUUAUGUACUUGAAAAGUUAACUGGGGUUGAUAUUUUUUUUUCUUAUUUUCUUUUUUGAUAUCAAAUGUAAAUCCAAAAUAAAUUUAAAAAUUAUUUAAAAAGCAAAUAAAAAAGUAUUAUAAAAAAAUGAAGCUAAGUACUGCAGGGCUUGGGAAGCCGAGCCAUGUGUUUGACACAUCAAGAAAGGGCCUGUGCGUGGGCCUGCAAGGUCGGACACACUAGCACUAGCCUUUAAUUUAUUUUUUUUAAGUUAAUGCGGCAAGUGACAUGUCAUUUAACCCUUUUUUUUUUUAAAAAAAACGACGCUUUGUUUGAAACUCAGAUUUUGACUACUGUGAUACACUAGAAAAAUAGUGUUUCAUCUCGAAUCCCAUUUUCAUCAUUUUUUUUAAUACAAAACACCUAUGUAACACUCUAGGAACCUUUUAGAAACCCUGUUAAACUAAUUUAUGGUUUAAAAAAACACUAAAAGUUGCUAUAAAAUUCAAAAUCAACAUGAAAUAAAAAAUAUAUAUUUCUGAGCUCAAAUAUUUUUUAGGUGCUUUUAAGGUAAAAAAAAAAGCACAAUUAUUUUGGUAGUUAAAACCAUCACCAUUGACAACUUUUUCGCUCUGCAUCGGAAUCUUGCAAGCUUUUCUCCUCCACAAAAAAAUAUUUUUGAGCUCGGAUAUUUUUUUGGUACUUUUAAGGUAAAAAAAACACUCAAUCUGAACUUCUGUUCUUAUAUGGAACCAUUUGACACAAGAAAAUUAAUUAUUUUGGUAGCCGAAAUUAUCACCAUUGACAACUUUCUCGCUCUGCGUCAGAAUCUUGCGAGCCCCUCUGUUCUCCAUAAAAAAAUAACUGGAAAAAAAGGAGGAAAUUGAAGUUUUAAACUAAAAUUGAAUUUUUAAAAUUUAAAGGGACUAGUUAAUUAAUAGCUAAAAAUAUAAGGGAUUAAAUGAAUUUCUCAAAAACAAUUCAAAGCUAUCACCUAUUUUAUUUUUAUUUUCAUUUUAGUUCUCUAUUUCUCAAUUCAAUGCUAUCUCCCAAAAUAAUAUGCAAUUGGUUAUUAAUUGGGGCUAAAAAGGGUCUAGUGGUAAAAAAAAUUGAAACACUAAAUUGAAUUUUUUUUUUAAAUCACCAUUGAGAUCUAAAGUGACAAAAUAUAAAAUCACUGCUUUUAGUUUAUACUAUAACUAUAAUAGAUAUACAGUAGUAUUAAAAAAAUAUUUCGACUAAAAAAAGUGACUGUUGAUCUAGGUUUUGAUUUUCCGUUUGAUGGUCUACAGGCCCUGCUUCUUCAAAAGAAACCCAAUUCUAAAUCAAUAUUAAUUGGACCAAACAUAUCAAAUCUGGGCCAUGUGGGUACUAAUUUGACGUAGGAAACGAAACUUCCUUAACUGUUCGAAAAAAACCCUUUCUCCUUUCUCGUUCUUCCACUUCCAGUUACCAGCAGUCUGACGGAUCACGCCCUGAAAAUCCUCCCAGCGUUGCCGUUUCACUCCAUUCCCAUCGGAAACUUCCAUCCUUCUAGUUUCGGCAUCAUGAAUUCACCAACCAGUCCAAUGGCUUUGUUCCCAGUUAUCAUUCUCUUGAUGCUUUUCCUUUCUGGAAAGGCUAAUGAUGUUUUCUUGAGUUUUAACCACCAAGAAAUUGGCAAGAAUUUUGCCGAUCAUCUCUACAAAGACCUCAAUUAUGCUGGGAUUCGCACUUUUAGAGACGAUGGUGGAAUUUACACAGGACAAAAGUCUGAUGUCAAGAGAGCGAUACAGGAAUCCAGGAUAUCGGUUGUUGUGUUUUCUAAAGACUAUGCUUCUUCAACAAAGUGCCUGGACCAGCUUGGGCUCAUCAUGGAUGCUAGGAGAACAACUGGGCUCGUUGUGCUUCCCGUUUUUUACAACGCUGAUCCGUCGGAGGUCUGGGAACAGAAAGGGUUGUUUGAAGAAGCAUUUGCUAAACACGAAAAAAGCUUCCAUAAGGAGAUGGCUAGAGUGGAAAGUUGGAGGGCCGCUCUUAAAGAAGCUGCAGACCUGAAAGGAAAGGAGCGGAAACAAGACAGGUAUAUAACUAAUUCCUUUCCAAGCUGUUACGUGUUCAUCAAAGUCCAGAGAAUACAGGCUUAGAGAGCUUUUUUUCUUUUUUAACAGAACAAUUAACAUCGCUAAUUCGAACAGGAAGAAUUCCAUUUGUAGGGAACAAAUUAAAAAACUGAAGGUUUUUAUACAUACAUGAAUGGUAAAGGUUAAACGUAGAACAAUUAUAUUAGAGUAAUUGAAUUUCACUUUCCAAUUUCUUAAAGACUUUAAUUUCUUCUUUUUUCCUUAAAAAUUUAUUACAUCGAUAGCUUAUAUUUUUGAAUCAGCUAAGCAUUUAGGAAUACUUAAUUUGACCUUGAUCAUUCCAUACUUGAACAUCACUGUUGAGCCACAUAGCUAGGGGGUUUUUUUUCGUGCUAGUUAACAUGUGAGAAGACAUUCAAUUACCUGGAAUCGUGAUUGCACGAGACUAAUGUAGCCAACUAUCCCAGGGGAAAAGAGUUUGACGAGAAUGAAAGAAAUCUUGCAACUUGCUAGAGAAAUGAAGACAUUGAAGGGAUGUUGUUGGACAUUUCAAAAAUUAGUUUUGAAAGUAAAUUAAAUUGCAGAGUCUUUGCAAGGAAAUCCAAACUUAGAUUGCUCAAGAUUUAUAAUUCUGGAGUUAAAAAUAAGUGUAAAGUGCACCUUCCUCAUGGCUGGCGUCAACUUCCUUUCUUAGGAGAUGAGAUAUCUGCGUUGGGAUGAAUAAUUGUUUUGACCUGAGAUGUUUGCAUUCCAGUUUUUGUCUGGAGAAAUUUAAACUAGCUAUUAUCUAGAAACGAAACAAGAAUCUUAUCGAUUUAAAAUAUGCCAGCCUUAGCAAUUGUGAGACCCUUUCCAUGCCAGAUUUUCUCAAACGCUAGAAAUUAACCUUGAGAGAUUGAAUCUUCAAUUUUGUUGUACAAGUUUAAUAUGGUCAAGGUUACUUCACCGAUUCAAUAUCGGGACAAGCUUAUUGAUUUGGAUCCAAGAAACUGCACAUGCCUUAUCUCUCUUCCGAGUAGAUUUUGUUAAAGAUUUCCCAUCUCUUAACCUUUCUAGUUGUUCAAAUGUCAAUAAACAGCAUGCAGUUGGUACCAACAUAUUGAUCAAAACGAUGCCUUAACUUCAAUUGCCAUGGUGCUAGACUGCUAGUAAUCUUAGUUAACUGUCUGUUUUAUGUCCAGAACCUGUGGCUGUGUUUGGUAUGACGGAUAGAGAAAGGGUGUUUUGAUAACCCUUUUCUUUUCGUGAAGCAAAAACAUUGAAGACAUUCUAGAAAUGCCAAAAAAUAAACGAAAGAAACCUAACUCUGCCUUGAUUUCAUUACUGAAGCUUUAAUCACUAGCGUUUCUGUGUCUUUUUCAAAGAAAGAAAAAAAAGGUGUUCUGCACAAGUGCACUGGUCGAUGUAGAACUCUCUCUCCUAAGCCAUUUGAAGUAGCGAUGAGCCAGUGAAUCAAUUGCUACUGCAGUAUUGUAUCUCCAUUCAUUAGGCAUAUUCGAAACACAUGCAUGGAAUUCUUCUUGCUUGCUUCAGCAUCUCUAAAUUACUGAUAUUGUAUGACUCGUUUAUCCAUAUUUAACUAUCAUGGCCAUUCAGCUUACAAGUUAUUUAAACAAUAACGGGAUCUGAGGAUGAUAAACAAGGGCUGGUUCGUUAACCAGCCUCAAUUCAAAUGUAAUUAUUUUUGUUUUUCAUGUUCUUUUUGAAAAGACCGACCAAGCACAUUUCAAUCCUGCUCUUAGGAUUGUGCAUUGAAAAUUUCUGAUGGUAUCACCUCAUGCUGGACAUUUAAUCAUCAUCAUAUAUAGUCUGGUUAAGUUGGCACAAGGACAGCGAUUAAACUAGAACAAACUGAAACAACAGCUAAAAAAUGACUUUCAAGUUUCAAGCUAGAGAACGCCUUUAAAUCCCCCACGACAGCAUCCAUGAACUCUCAUUUUUGUUUACCCUGUAUUUAGUUAAAAAAAGAUGAUUCAUGGAAACGUAGGUCAUCUUUUUAUCACUCGGGCUAUCUACAAAGCAUUCUCUGAAGAACUUAAUUUGUUCACAAUUUGAUUUGUUCUUGGUUCGAGCUGCCUUGAUCAUCAUGUUAAAAGGUUAGACAUAGGGAUGGAUAUCUCUGAGAUGUUUGCCUUGUAAUUAAAUUUUGAUCGGAACCCUUUUUGAGCCUGAACUUGAGCUAUCAUCUAGCAAGGUUAAGCAAGUCUGGCAAGGAGACCAGAAUCUUGGCAGUUUAAAAAGGUCAACCGUAAUAAUUCUAGACCUGCAGAGGAUAGAAGAAACCUUGAGACUUGGAUUUUGUACAAGUUAAUUUGGUCGUGUUUCUUAAUUUGUCAAUUCAGCAUCCACCCAUUUGCAUCGAUGUAUUCCAAGCUGAAUUUUUUUGUAGUAUGUCUCUUCUUCUUCUUCUUCUUCUUCUUCUUCUUGUAUGUUGAUCUGAUGAGGAAUUAGGAAAUUAAUCCGUGAUUUAAUUUGUAUGAAUGUGUGUUUGCAGGUAUGAGUCAAAGUUCAUAGAGUCGAUUGUUAAAGAGAUCGCAGAUAAACUCAACUUCUCACUGCCUCACGCCCCUCCGUCCUCGUUACCACUGUCGUCGGCCCUCCGCCCACCUUCAUAUUUUCUUUGUCUUUUACGAGAGUGGAGGUCUUUCUUUCAGACCUCCUCUCUCUUUUUAUUUUUUUGACCUCCUCUCUUUUUUCUGUAGUUGUACUACAGAAAAAAGAGAGGAGACAAAAAAAAAUAAAAAGAGAGGAGGGGCGGUGGGGGUAAAGCAGAAGUGUGAAUCAAUAGGAACUAAGCACGUGGAUACCUGUCGGCUGAUGAGAACGAAAGGCUGAAAAGAAAGGUCCCACAGCGCACCGACUUUGUCAAAGCAUAGAUGGAUGAAUUAAUUAAAGGAUUGUACUUCAAUGAAUGCUUCUCUCUCUCCUUUUUGUUUUUUUUGACAAUUUGUAUCUUUGGAUCGAUCCUUAUGACAGUUAACUUUUUCAAGAAUUUUCAGCUCAAAAUGAGAUGAUCAGAUGCAUAAUUAAGUCUAAGUGAUCUUUUGACAUAUGACUGCUACAAGUAAGUGCAUGCUUAGGGUUCUUCUCAAUUAUAUUCUUGCUAAAUUUUUAAUUUGUUUUUUAACACUUGAGAAUAACAAUACAAAAGAAAAAAGUUUUUCGAAGUAUGAAUCUUAAAACUGAAAAAAAGUAUAUCAAUGAAAAAACAAGCUUUUUUAAUCAACAAACUUACCAUUGAUUUUAUAAAUACCGCGCAUACAACAAUAGAAAAAAAUUCAUAACAUAAGAUGUGCAAUCAAAGAUUAAUUAAUGUAAAAGUCAUGAUUAGGAUUAUAAGUUAAUUUUCAAUGCUUGAAAAGGUGUGUAUUUUCGGGUGUCAUGAUUUUCUAACAUAGAAAUGAAAAUAUAUUGUUUGUGUUUAAUAAAAUAAAUUAAAAAAAUAUAUGAACCAACAAAUAAAAAAUAAUUAUUAAAGUUAAUUAAAUAUUAAAGUGAAAAGCUGAUAAUUCUAGUAGAGUAAAAAUUAAAUACAGAUAUAAAUAUUUAACCCUGAUUGUCCUUUGUAUUUUAUAUAUUUUUAUUUAUUAUAUAUUAAAAGUUGAUUCUAGCAGUUAAGGAUAAUUUUUUUUUUAAAAAAAUACAUCACAUAAAUAUAAUUUAUUUAUAUAAACUAUAAAAUGAAAAAAAAAUUACAAUUAUCUCCUUAAAGCAUUAUAAAUAUUUUUUAAAAAAACUGUUAAAAAUAUGAAAAAGGUUAACCAAACAAUUUUAAAAAAAAUAAGAGAUAAAGUAUUCAUUAAAAUUUAAAUAGAAGCAUUAAUUAAAAGUUAAAAAAUGAGUUCAGUAUACUGCUAGGACCUUAUAGUCUAGGUCCAUGCAUUUUAUUUUUUUUGGUUUUAGAUGGUGUCAUUUGCUCCAAUUAUUUUCUUGAGAGGGUGAAAUUGGGAUUAAAAAAUUUCAAUGACGAGAAUGCAAGAAACAAAAUGGGUUUCACACUGUUCAUAUACUAAAACAAAAUGGGAUUUCACUGUAUAUGAACUGAACAGUGAAAUCCCAUUUUGUUUUAGCAUAUGCAACAAUAAUUUCUAUUAUCAUCAUGUCCAAUUCAACUUCAAGCAUUGAUGCACUUUUCCUGUUAGAAAUUAUCAACUCUGUCCCUUCAAGUAUGAUAAAAUGUUGCUUCAUGGUUUCUCACCAUCUCUGCAUAUUGGUUUGUGCUAAACAUAACAUGGUACAGAGUGAGAGAAGAACAAUUAUCAAUAUUAAAAGAUUGCAUAUCAAAUCUCCACACUGGAAACCACUUGCUCACAACAUUUGUGAUCCCUGCAGCUUCAAUGGCAUGAUUGAUCUUGGGAACAGUUGGCUUAUUAUCAACAAAAUGAGAGCUAAGCAAUGCAUCUUCGAAACAAGAAAUUUACACAAAAGAAAAACAUUUCAGCUGAUAAACACAUAUAAAGAUCUUUUCCAAGAAAGCUUACUAUCAAAAAUCUGAAAAAAAGCAUAAUGUUGGAUUAUCAAUCAAUGAAGUUCCAUAGAGAACAAUUGCAGCAAAUCCCCCUUGCAAUGAUAUGAGAAACAAAUAACAUUCUUCAAGUUUCAACAGGUUUUACUGCAAGAGAUUGAAGGCAAUGCAAGAAGCCUGUGUACACAGAUACAAAAUCCAUUCACAAAAAAUCUUUCAUCGUGCAUGGAUAAGCCAUCAACGAAGCUAUAAACAGUAUUGGCAUCUUGGAAAGAUACAGAGAUACCAACCACCUGUUAUGAAACCCAACCUAUAGAAACAUUUUUCUUAAAAACGAGAAAUGCAAGAAAUCUGAUAAAAAGAAUCCAAAUUCUCACUACAAGAAAUAUGAUUUGUGUGUGAGGAAAAGAAGUGAAACCUGGAAAGUUAAUGAUUUAGAGUGUAGAAACUUCUGAAAAAAUCAUUUCAUUUUACUAAUAUUUUCUUCAUUGUUAAAAAGUGCUUGUGGUGAUUGCUCUUGUAGAUAUUCGUGACUUGAAUGGAUCCAAGUUAUUCAUAUCAAGUCCUUGAAAUUUCUGGAGGUUUUAUAGCUUUUCGUUAUGUUUAUAAGGUGCUUCCUCGCUCCUAUUGUUCUCUCUUUUUCGCUAUGGAUUAACCCAACUUUUUUCAUCUUAUUCCACUAUGAAAUUUGUUUUUACUGCAGUUCAUCCUUUUGCAGUGUUACAUCUAUAUUCUCUUCUUCCAAGGCGACAUGGCAGCUCCCCUGUCAUGUCUUCCUGCUUUUAACUAUCACUCAAACUCCACAUGUAUUCGUGUACUGCAAGGAAAAGGCAUACCAAACCUUCAAAAUAAAAUAAAAUCUGGUGCAAGGACAAAAAAGAAUUCUGAGGCAAAACAUGCCAUUAACCCAUUUUUAAUGGGUUAAAAGCAUAAAUCCAUAAAUAGAAUCCCAACUUUUUUCUUCGAUAAAUGGUAUAUGAUAUCUUUACAAAUUUGCCACCAACAAUCCACAAAUACUUUGUUCAUAAGAAAACAGAACCAUUUUUCAUUCACUAACGAUUAGAGAGACAAGGUUUCAUGCAUUCCUGGAAUUGUUAAGGCCAAGCAUCUCAGGCUAGCUCUUGAAUUUCAAACAUGACCACAACAUGAUAUACAGUAAAUUGCAACUCAAUCAUCUUAGCUGAAUAAUCUGUAAUUGACUAACAUGCAUCUAAAGGGUAUAUGAAGUUGAAUUAGACCGCAUGCAAGCUCUAAUACCAGAAAUCCUGAAUAGCAACAUCAUUAGACUUAGAUACACAACCAACAUCAUUAAUCGACGCAGCUAACUAAUAGAAACAUGCUAGUAAAUUAAUCGCGCCACCAAUCUGAGAAAAUACAUUAAGGCUUAAUUGGAUGAUGGUAAGGAAUAGAUAGCGUGCAAGCUACAUGCAUUCUUGAGAGUAAGGGCUCGAACAAGGCUUAAGCAGAUGCUCCUAUAGAAAAUGCCAAAAAUGAAUUCAAUAAUUAGUUGCAAUUAAGAAAUCGAUUACUUCCUCUUCUUCAUUGAUUCAAGUAAUGCUUGAAAAUGUUGAAUCAUACCAGUGAACAUAAGCAACCACUUCCUCUGGUUAUGAGUGAUCACAUCACUCUAUAUAGCCAACUAAGACCCCCACAUCCUUCUAUUGUAUGGUUCACUACUCUUCAUCUUUCUUUACAAGAAACUUUUGCAAUAGGACUGUAUUCAACUAUAUCAAUUAUUAAUGUGCAAUAUACUCGAACAUUUCACCUUCCCUUUUCUUCUCAUACAAAUUAUGCAAUACCUCUGGUUAAAAUAGAAAAAAAUGUAUACCUCUGCGGUGAAUUCGAUAUUGUAAUAUCCGAUCCAAAUCUUUUCUAUUGUAUCUGAACUCGAGUAAUAUAUUGUUCAACUUGGACCAGCUCUGCGCAUCAUAUGGUUUAACUUAAAAUAAUCUUUACUCGGUUGGUUUAAUGCAAAGUAAUUUGAAAGAUAUUAAAAACUUCAAAUUGAGAUUAUUCAAAGGGAGGAUCCUAAAUGGAAGCCUUCUCUCUUAUCUGCCAUUUCUUAAAUUAAAUUCAAUGGCCGCUUCGGAUAUGAUCUCAAACUGAUUUGGAAUGGCUUUAUUAUUGCCAGUAAUAGUAGGCAAAUAACUCUGAGAUUGACUUGAUGCGUUGUCAACAUUUCCAUCUUGUCUAUUCCUUUUCAAAGGAUUCUAUAAUCUCUGCAAUGGUAACAUUAUUUUGUAGAGUAGAAUCUCCAGCUACAACCUUAUUGUUUUUGGACUGGUAGAAAACUCAGGAGGAACAGAACAGAUGUUCAUUUCCAUCAUAUCAGUACAACUUAGUGGUAACGUUUUCCCAACUAAGCAUUCCCAAAUUUAUUUCAAAACAAACCAAAAAUAGCAGCAACCUUCCCCGUCCUCUGCCUGCCAAGCUCUUGAAUCAGAAACUGUAUUUCCUUCUUGCAAAACAAAAUAACUUAAAAAGGGCAUCAAAAUCCAACCGUGAGACUGCCAUUGCCAACAUAAGAUCAAGCUGGCAUUUAAUGAGCCUCCAUACGUUAAGGAAAAACUUACCUGCAAAUUACAAAAAGCAUGUACCUAGUACAUCACAACAGGUUCUCUCCUUAUUACUAGUGUCUUUGACUGCUAAAUUUAUGAAGUACAUAUCAGAAUAGACCUUAAAUAGAUCCGAGUGACUAACCCGAACAAACUCAAAGCUAUGAGUUACAAUAUAUUUUUACUUUGAAGCAUGCUAGAGCUAUCUUAUGAUAUACAGAUACGGUAUAUGGUGUUAGUGAGAGAAUGUGAUUUGUGAGUGGUAUUUUUUGAAAAUAUCUCCGUGAGGUGAAAUAAAUGCUUUCUUCUACAUAAAUUAUAUUUUUCAAAUCAUAUUUUUUUAAUUAACUAGAAUUCCAAGUUGACCAGGGAAUUAUUGUCUGAUGACCAAUUUUAUAAUGGCUGCUAUAUUUAUCUUGUAAAUCCCAAAAAACAAAUUGUGCUAAUCAGGUAUUUAGAAAUAAAAUGGAUCCAAAUUGUAUAGAUACGAGGAUAUGUUUUUUUCAUUUUAUUUAGUUAGUGUUUUAUAACAGAAAAGAUAAAAAAUAUAUUUAAUUGAAAAAACAUGAAUAAAAAUAAAAAUAAAUCUACUCUAAGAUAAUUUUGAAAUAAAUUAUAUACUUUCAAAACAAAAAAUACAUAAAAAUAUGUCGCAUUUAUCCACUAUCUCCAUCUUUUCUAUUUUGAGACAGUAAUCAAAUACUACUACAAUUUAGACAUUGAGAAGUAAAGCUAGGGUUAGAUGAUUUAUAAUAUGUAGGAAGUUAAUAUUAAAAGUUUUAUUCAAAGAAUUGACAACACUACUACUAAGAUAUAGAAGAUAAUAGGUUAGUGUUUGAUUAUUGUCCCGGAACAAAAAAGAUAGAGACAAUGAUAAUAGAGGAAAGAAGAUAGAAUAAGAGAUAAAGAUAAAAUUAUAUUUGAUAGUAGCAUACAAGACUACCUUUAUAUCUUAUUUUGUUGAUUGUAAACAAGACAUAAUAAAAUAUAAAAACUCUAUUUUAUUUUUAAUAUGUAUUAUUGUCAAAUUACAUAUUUUUAAAAAAUAAUUAGAUAGUAUUAUAAUUUUUUUAGUUUAUAUUGAAAGUUGAAAUUAAUAAUAGAAUAAUAACUUUAGUUAUAUAACUUAGAUUGGCUCAGUGUGUUGAACUAGGACUCGGCUGACCCAAAGCCUAAACCAGUAUGAAUUUAAAAAAAAAAUAGAGGAAAGGUUAACCCAACUUGAUCGGGUUAAAACUCAAGUUGACCUAUGACUCGAGAUAAACCCAAGUAAAAAACCCUUGACUUUAUUUUGAAAAAAAAUAUUUGGUCAAAAUGACAUCGUUCUGAUCCUUUGUUUUAAAAUAUUAGGAUUAUUCUAGGUUGAUCUUCUCGAUUCAUGACCUGAUUCAACCACUAGGUCAAAUUUUAAAAUUAUAACAAUAAUUAUUUUUUAUUAUUAUAUAUUUUAGUUGGAUCAUUUUAGAAUUAAAAGUUUUUUCUAGUGGUAUUUUAAGAAUAAAAAAUAUUAUCUUUAAAGAUAUAUCUCCAUGUAUCUUUUAUUUGAAAAAUACAAAAAAUUAUUUUUAAAUUAUUUCAUAAUAUAUUUAUUAUCUAUGUUCUUUAAAUCAAACAUAUUUAAGACCAUCUGUUUCUUUAAUUUCUCUGACAGUAACCAAAUGCCACGGUAUUAUAAUUUUUUUUUUAUGUGAAUGGAAAGAACUACUAAUAACAGGAAGUACCUAUUUUCUAAAUAUUUCAAAAGCAUACAUUAUUUAAUUGCUUGAGGAAAUGUAUAUCAUUCGUAAAAGGGCUCAACCUCAACUUUAUUUAACUUGAACACAACGGAUUUCGGGCUGGAUGUUGAGCAAUAAAACCAAGCGAAGCCACACAGAGAGCCCAAACUAGCCCAAGUUACCGCAACCAAGCGUAGAUCACAUACAACCAAGCUUGUUCCAUAGACUAGGCAACCGAAAGUGUGAUGCUCUUAAAAAAAUUGUUGAAGAUAAAAAUGGUAUUAGAUAUUUAAUAUGCAACUAUAUAUUUUUUUUUAUAAUUGAAAAAUAUUAUUAUCUUUUUUUUUUGGUUAAAAGAAAGAAUUCCCUGAUUAAAUAAUAAAACAAUUUUUUUUAAAAAAAAGAUUUUGCAAAAAUAAUUUUAAAUAAGUUUAAUCGCAUAGAUUUUCUCAACCAUUUAAUUCUUAGUUUGUUUUCAGAUAAAAGUAUAUUAUCAUUUAUUUUUGUGCUUAUAACUGUAUUUGAUUAUAUUUUAAAAAUUUAUUUUGCUUGAAAAUAUAUUAAAUUAAUAUUUUUUAAUUAUUUUAAUAUAUUCAAAAAAAAUUAAAAAAAAAAUCAUGCAAUACAAUAACCCUCCAAAGUCAAAGAAAGUAAUAAAAAAAAAGAGAGAGAGAAACUUCCCGAGACCUUCAGCUCAAGACUUUCCCUUCCAUUCUACAGCCCUCUUUUUUCUCUUGCUUGAUGGAAUGGAGCACCAGGCAGCUAGGCACCACCCAACCAAGGAAAAUAAAAUAGAAAAAGCAUCUGACAGAAUAUCCAGUAUAAAAAAUAAAGAAAAGGAAACUUCCUGAGAACUUCGGCCAUACACUUUCCCUUCCAUUUUUGCAGUCGUUUUUCUCUUGCUUAGUUCUUCUACCUUUUGCUGGUUCACACACUUGAAGUUGAAGCUAAUCCUCCAAAGUCAAACGUUGCCUUUUCAGUGGCAAAUUCCACAACAGAAUUCGAUUUUCUUAUCCUCCUUUUUGAUCUUUCACGUAUUCUAUUCAUCAACCUUAUGGGUUUCUUCUCAUUCAUCCGUCGCUUGAUGCUUAUUCUCUUUGGCACGGCUAAUGAUCUUGUGUUCUUGAGCUUUAGCAAUGAAGAUACAGGAAAGAAUUUUAGUGAUCAUCUCAACUCAGCUCUCACCAUUGCAGGAUUUCGCACGUUUAAAAACGAUGAUGGCGUUCGAAGAGGAGAAAAUACCGGCUCAGAAACCAGAAAAGCAAUACAGGAAUCGAAGAUAUCUGUCAUUGUGUUUUCCAAGGACUAUGCUUCUUCAACACGGUGCCUCGACGAGCUCGUCAUGAUCAUGGAUGCCAGGAGAGCUACUGGGCACAUUGUGCUGCCCAUAUUUUACCAUUUGGAUCCAUCUGAAGUCAGGAGCCAGGAAGGGAGAUGUUUCGAAGCGUUUUCUACACACGAGAAAAGCUUCCAGGGUGAGAAGGGGAGGGUGGAAGAAUGGAGGGCAGCUCUUAGAGAAGCUGCAGAUGUGGCAGGGAUGGUUCUACAAGACAGGUACAUCACAUCCCUACUCUGUUUUCUCUUGAUUCUAGUACGUCACAUCCCUUCAAUGUUUUCUCUUGAAUAAGGCUAUCUAAUCAUAUGGUCAAAAACUCAGUACAAUCAAGAAAAAAAAUUGAAAUAAAGACAGCAUAUAUAACAACAAGAACAAAAUUUCAAUCCCAAACUGAUUGGGGAUGGAUCCUUUUGGCCAUUCAAACGUGCUCGUGAAUGUGAAGUAUAUCCGGGCUUUAGAAACAAAUUCAUAGACAUGCUGUCUUGCCAGAACACAGUAAUGUGAUUUCCUUAACUUGUAAAGUUGCUGUGUUGUGUUUAUCUUAUACGUAGUAGGCUGUAUUUGACACUUCUCCGAAACUGAUACGAGAAUAUUUUUCAAAUAGCCGUAGUUCCUAGCUGCUCCUUGCCUUCGGUUUUGUCAAAGAUAAAUUAGUAGUGGGGCCUUCCAUCAUGUCAAAAUAAAACCAAGACUUAUGGGCCUAAAAUGUGUCCUUUUUUUUCCUUCUAAAAGGAUUCUGGGCCGGGAAUGGAUCCUUAAUUUAGAAACCAAUGGUCCAUGAUAAUUUAUUCUCCUCUCGGUCUUCGUCUCUCUUGGUCUGCCAUAUCAACACCAUAAACCAGUAAAGUUCCAACUGCGUUGACUUGAGUCUAAAAAGUCAUCAAUUCACCAACCGAUUCCAAGAUUUCCCAUUUCACUGUUUUCCUCACAUUAAAUUUUUCAUCCAUUCUUCUCUCCAAAAUGCAUUACGAAGUGUUCUUGAGCUUUAGAGGCGAAAACACCCGUCGAAGUUUUACGGACCAUCUCUACACAGCUCUAUGUAGAGCAGAGAUUCGCGCUUUCAGAGACGACGAUGGGAUCCGGAGAGGAGAGAACAUUGAUUUAGAAAUCAAGAAAGCAAUUCAAGAAACAAAACUAUCCAUUAUUGUGUUUUCUAAAGACUACGCUUCUUCGAGAUGGUGUCUUGACGAGCUAGCGAUGAUCAUGGAACGUAGAAGAGCUGUUGGGCACAUAGUGUUUCCAGUUUUCUAUGAUGUUGAUCCAUCUGAGGUGGGGACCCAAACAGGGAGAUAUGGUGAAGCUUUUGCUAAGCAUCAGAUACGUUUCAAGGACCAGAUGGAGAGGGUGGAGGGGUGGAGGAAGGCUCUUAAAGAAGUUGCAUACAUGGAAGGAAUGGUCUUAGAAGACGGGUACUAACUUUUUUUUUUCUUCGAAAUUUAUUACAUCGAUAGCUUAUAUUUUUGAAUCAGCUAAGCAUUUAGGAAUACUUAAUUUGAGCUUGAUCAUUCCAUACUCGAACAUCUUGCCAUUUACUUGAAAAUGAAGACAUUCACUUACCUGGAACAGUGAUUGCCAACUAUCCUAGGGGAAAAGCGUUUGACGAGAAUGAAAGAAGUCUUGCAACUUACUAGAUAAAUGAAGACAUUGAAGGGAUGUUGUUGGACAUUUCAAAAAUUAGUUUUGAAAGUAAAUUAAAUUCCAGAGUCUUUGCAAGGAAAUCCAAACUUAGAUUGCUCAGGAUUUAUAACUCUGGAGUUAAAAAUAACUGAAAAGUGCACCUUCCUCAUGGCUGGCGUCAAGUUCCUUUCUUAGGAGAUGAGAUAUCUGCAUUGGGAUGAAUAAUUGUUUUGACCUUUGAGAUCUUUGCAUUCCUUUUUUUGUCUGGAGAAACGAAACAAGAAUCUUAUCGAUUUAAAAUAUGCCAGCCUCAGCAAUUGUGAGCGCCCUUCCAUGCCAGAUUUUUUCAAAGGCUAGAAAUUAACCUUGAGAGAUUGAAUUCUCAAUAUUGUUGUACAAGUUUUAUAUGGUCCAAGGUUAUUUCACCGAUUCAAUAUCGAGACAAGCUUAUUGAUUUGGAUCCGAAAAACUGCACAAGCCUUAUCUCUCUUCCGAGUAGAAUUUGUUCAAGAUUUCCCAUCUCUUAACCUUUCUAGUUGUUCACAUAUCAAUAAGAAAGCAUGCAAUUGGCACCAAUAUUUAAACAAGCUAUUGAGAACGAUGAUAUUUGACCAGAAAUUCGAAGGAAACUGCUUUUUUGUUUUGUUUCCGAUUUGCUUAGGAGUCUCAACUUCAAUUGUCACGGUGCUAGACUGCUAGUAAUCUCAGAUAACUGUCUGUUUUACGUCCAGUGCCCUGUGGUUGUGUUUGAUAUGGUGUAUAGGGAAGGGAUGUUUUGAUAACCCUUUUCUUUUCGUGAAGCAAAAAGCCAUUCUAGAAAUGCCAAAAAAUUAACAAAAGAAACCUAACUCUGCCUUGAUUUCAUUACUGAAGCUUUAAUCACUAGCGUUUCUGUGUCUUCUUCAAAGAAAGAAAGAAAAGGUGUUCUGCAUAAGUGCACUGGUCGAUUUAGAACUCUCUCUCCUAAGCCAUUUGAAGUAGCGAUGAGCCUGUGAAUCAAUUGCUACCGCAGUAUUGUCUCUCCAUUCGUUAGGCAUCUUCGAAACACGUGCAUGGAAUUCUUCUUGCUUGCUUCAGCAUCUCUAAAUUACUGAUAUUGUAUGACUUGUUUAUGCAUAUUUAACUAUCAUGGCCAUUCAGCUUACAAGUUAUUUAAACAGUAACGGGAUCUGAGGAUGAUAAACAAGGGCUGGUUCGUUAACUAGCCGCAAUUCAAAUGUAAUUAUUUUUGUUUUUCAUGUUCUUUUAGAAAAGACCGACCAAGCACAUUUCAAUCCUACUCUUAGGAUUGUGCAUUGAAAAUUUCUGAUGGUAUCACCUCAUGCUGGACAUUUAAUAUUCAUCAUAUAUAGUCUGCUUAAGUUGCACAAGGAAAGCCAUAAAACUAGAACAAGCUGAAACAACAGCUAAAAAAUGACUUUCAAGUUUCAAGCUAGAGAGCGCCUUUAAAUCCCCCACGACAGCAUCCAUGAACUCUCCUUUUUGUUUACCCUGUAUUUAGUUAAAAAAAGAUGAUUCAUGGAAACGUAGGUCAUCUUUUUAUCACUCGGGCUAUCUACAAAGCAUUCUCUGAAGAACUUAAUUUGUUCACAAUUUGAUUUGUUCUUGGUUCGAGCUGCCUUAAUCAUCAUGCUAAAAGGUUAUACAUAGGGAUGGAUAUCUCUGAGAUGUUUGCCUUGUAAUUAAAUUUUGAUCGGAACCCUUUUUGAGCCUGAACUUGAGCUAUCAUCUAGCAAGGUUACGCUAGUCUGGGAAGGAGACCAGAAUCUUGGCAGUUUUAAAAGGUCAACCGUAGCAAUUCUAGACCUGCAGAGGAUAGAAGAAACCUUGAGACUUGGAUUUUGUACAAGUUAAUUUGGUGGUGUUUCUUAAUUUGUCAAUUCAGCAUCCACCCAUUUGCAUCGAUGUAUUCCAAGCUGAAUUUUUUUGUAGUAUGUCUCUUCUUCUUCUUCUUCUUCUUCUUGUUCUUGUAUGUUGAUCUGAUGAGGAAUUAGGAAAUUAAUCCGUGAUUUAAUUUGUAUGAAUGUGUGUUUGCAGGUAUGAGUCAAAGUUCAUAGAGUCGAUUGUUAAAGAGAUCGCAGAUAAACUCAACUUCUCACUGCCUCACGCCCCUCCGUCCUCGUUACCACUGUCGGCGGCCCUCCGCCCACCUUCAUAUUUUCUUGGUCUUUUACGAGAGUGGAGGAGGUCUUUCUUUCAGACCCCCUCUCUCUUUUUAUUUUUUUUGUCUUCUUGUUAUGCUUUGUCUUCUUGUAGCAUACGAGAGUGGAGGAGGUCUUUCUUUCAGACCCCCUCUCUCUUUUUAUUUUUUUUGUCUUCUUGUUAUGCUUUGUCUUCUUGUUAUGCUGUGUCUUCUUAACUUAUUAAGAAGACAAAAAAAAUAAAAAGAGAGACGGAGGAUGUAGGGGUAUAGCAGAAGUGUGAAACAAUAGGAACUAAGCACGUGGAUAUCUGUCGGCUGAUGAGAACGAAGGCUGACAGCAUCUGGGACAGCUCACCAACUUUGUCAAAGCAUGGAUUGAUGAAUUAAUUAAAGGAUUGUACUUCAAUGAAUGCUUCUCUCUCUCUGUUUUUUUACUAUUUGUAUGUUUAGAUCCAUCCUUAUGACUGUUACUGAAAAUAAUCAAAAACUUUUUCACGAAUUUUCAGCUCAAAUGAGAUGAUGCAUAAUCAAAGUCUAAGUGAUCUUUUGACGGCUACAAGUAAGUGCAUGCUUAGGGUUCUUCUCAACUAUAUUCUUGCUAAAUUUUUAAAUUGUUUUUUAACACUACGAAAGAAUAACAAUACAAAAGAAUAUAAAAUAUUUCCAAGUAUGAAUCUUAAAACUGAAAAAACAAACUGUUAUAAUCAACGAACGUACCAUUGAUUCUAUAAAUGCCACGCACGCAAACCACAGUAGAAAAAAAACUAUGACAUGAUUUGCAAUCAAAGAUUAAUUAAUUUCCAAGUAUGAAUCUUAAAACUGAAAAAAAGUAUAUCAAUGAAAAAACAUGCUUUUUUAAUCAACAAACUUACCAUUGAUUUUAUAAAUGCCACGCAAACUACAGUAGAAAAAAAUUCAUAACAUAAGAUGUGCAAUCAAAGAUUAGUUAAUGUGUGUAUUUUCAUGGCUUAAUUUUAGAAACUUGUGUGUAUUUUCAAGAUUAGGAUUAUAAGUUAAUUUUCAAUGCUUGAAAAAGUGUGUAUUUUCGGGUGUCAUGAUUUUCUAACAUAGAAAUGAAAAUAUAUUGUUUGUGUUUAAUAAAACAAAUUAAAAAAUAUAUGAACCAACAAAUAAAAAAUAAUUAACGCUAAUUAAAUAUUAAAGUGAAAAGCUAAUAAUUCUAAGUAGAGUAAAAAUUAAAUACACAUGUAAAUAUUUAUCCCUGAUUGUCCUUUGUAUUUUAUAUAUUUUUUUUAUUAUAUAUUAAAAGUUGAUUCUAGCAGUUAAGGAUAAUUUUUUUUAAAAAAAAAUACAUUACAUAAAUAUAAUUUAUUUAUAUAAACUAUAAAAUGAAAAAAAAUAAAUUACAAUUAUCUCCUUAAAGCAGAUGUCAAUAUUAUAAAUAUAUUUUAAGGUAUCCUGAUUUUUUAACAUAGAAAUAAAAAAAUAUUAUUUACAUUUAAUAAAAUAAAUUUAAAAAAUAUAGAAACCAACAAAUCAAAAAAUAAUUAUUAAUGCUAAUUAAAUACUAAAAUGAAGAGCUAACAUUUCUAGCAAAGUAAAAGAUAAAUGAACAUGCAAACAUUUAACCCCGACUACUCUUUCUAUUUUCUAAUUUUUUAUUUAUUAUAUAUUAGAAGUUGAUUCUAGCAACUAAGGACAAUUUAUUUUUAUUUUUAUAAAUAUGUCACAUAAAUAUAAUUUAUUUAUAUAAAAUGAAAAAUGAAAAAAAUAAAUAUAAAUUACAAUAAUCUCUUUGAAGCAUUAUAAAAUUAAAAAAAUUAAUUUAAAAAAAUUAAUUACUAUUAAAAAAGGUUAACCAAACAAUUUUAAAAUAUAAUAGAUAAGAUAUUCAUUAAAAUUUAAAUAAAAACAUUAAUUAAAAGUAAAAAAAAAAGCUGAGGUCAGGCCACAUAUCUGGCUAGAACCUUAUAGCUCCACACACCUUUUUUUUUUUUGUUUUAACAGUGUCAUAUGCUCUAAUUAUUUUUUUAUAAAGGGAUGAUAGGUCGUUUUCCUCUAGAUCAGUUUCUGGUUACUUCUAGUAAUUAAAAUAUUAAAGUUUGAGUUGUGAAAUUUUAAAAACCUAUUUCUCAAUAUUUUUUUACCUGAAAAUAUCCUAAAAGCAUUUAAAAAUCAACUUUUAAUCUUAAAACAAUCUUUAAUCUCCUUAAAAAAUAAAAAUUAAACAAAUAAAAAACAUCAAACCUUUUUAUAAAAAACCUCAAGACCAGAACUUUUCCAAAAACAGCAAACCAAUUGACACUAAGAUAACUCUUUUUUGUGACUAAAAUGUUCACAUUCAGCUACUUUCUUUCUUUUUAAUUUUUUUUUUAGUGAUUUUCUCUAUCUUUUUUCAAUAUUCAGAAACUAAAAUAAAAACUAAAUUAAGUUUAAGAUCAAAAUUUAGAAUGCUAAAAUAACAAGGAUCAAACAAAGGGUUAAUUAAAAACUAUAAAGAACAUAUAUAAGUUUUCCAUUUCAAUAUCUAAAUGGGAUUUGUUUUUUUAAAAUUUAUUAUUAAAAAUUUAUUUUUAAUAUCAUUAAAUAAUAUUCAAAAUUAUCAAAACAAAUUUAACUUUUUAAAAAUUUAAUGUUUUUUAAAAAUGCAUAAAACAAACAAGAUGAGCAUAAUUUACCACAUCACUGUUCAUAUGGGCUCAACUUUGUUGGGCCAUGAGCUUAGUAGUAUAUAAUUUCUUCCAACAGUAACGACAUCUGGUAAGAAGUUCUAAGCGCAGUUGAAGCGCGUGAUAUAUGUCCUCUCGAGUAACCCAAGGUGGAGGAGCAAAGGUAUUAGUUUUUGCUCAUUGCUCGUUCGCCAAUAUUCGUGCACUUGCAGCAUGUUUGAGACCAAUUUUCUAUUAAAAUUAAUUUCAUUUCUGGUAUUUAAAUUGCAUUCAAUGAGUUAAAAUCAUGUAUUUAAAAGAGAUAUAUUAUCAUUGAAUUUAUUUUAUUCUAUUUUCUACAAUACAUUUAUAGUAUUAUUAAUUAUCAAUACUCUUUCAUUUAUAGUAAUUAAAUUUCAACAGGUUUUAUCGCAAGAUAUUGAAGGCAAUGCAAGAAGCUUGUUUACGCAUACAAAAUCCAUUCAUAGUUUCUGAUAGAGAAAAAUCUGUCAUCAUGUAUGGAUAAGCCAUCAAAGAAGCUAUAAACAGUAUCAUCAUCUCGGAAAGAUACACAGAUACCAACCACCUGUUAUCAAGUCCAACCUAUAGAAUCAUUUUCCUUAAAAACGAGAAACACAAGAAAUCUGAUAAAAAAAUCCAAAUUUUCACAUCAAGAAAUAUGAUAUGUGUGCGUGAGGAAAAGAAAUAAAACCAAGAAAACUAAUGAUCUGAGUGUAGAAACUUUUGAAACAAUCAUUUCAUUUUACUGAUAUUUUCUUCAUUGUUAAGAAGUGCUCGUGGGGAUUGCUCUCUUUGAUAUUCGUAACUUCAAUGAUACAAGUUAUUCAUAUCAAGUCUUCGAGAUUUCUUACAAUCUCAUGAAGUUUCAAGGUGACAAGGCAGCUCUUCUCCCGUCUUCUUGUUUUUAACUAAAACUCAAAACUCCACUUAUACUGUAUGGAAAAAGCAUACAAAACCUUCAAAAUAAAAUAAAUAAGCAGAAAAGGCAAGAAAACAACUGGAAGACUCUUGGGUUUUCGAGCUGCUGGCUAGAACAAGCAAAUUGUUGAUUACAGGCCAUGCAUGUCAUGAUUUUACACUUGGGCUUCUGAUAUUUCAGGGGCUUCACAACCUCCCUUGUAAAGUCAGGGUCAUCCCUUCCAAAGUGACCAUAAGCAGCUUGCUGUCCCUCCUCCUUCAUCCCUUGCUACUUGUCAAGUCCUCCGAAUUACUUUAAGAUGCCACAGCAAACAAAGAAGAGAAGGGAUGGUCCAUAAUUGAUUGCUUCCUUCUCAUUUGAAACACAAAGUCCGGAUCAAAGCUUAGAUUCAACUUCAAAAGAAGAAGAAGAAGAAGAAAUCUUCAGUUUCAACAACGCAGAUUAUGAACACUAAGCAAAAUUGGCAAAAGCCUUGGCAAAAUUCAAGAGCAGGAACAGCAGCACUGCUCUGGCUCUCUGAAACUUGGGGGCAACAUGCCAAAUACACUUAACCACUUUCAAAAUCUUUGUCCCGCCACUCCUCGGUGCAUAAUCCAUCUGUCUUUUGUUUCUCCAGAUUCUCCGAAACUUGGUAAAAAAAAGUUUGAUCAUGUGCUUGAUUUGAAGCGGAAUAUUGGUGAACCUUCAAGCUGCCCGCGGUGGCAAUGUUUCUCCGGUGACUGUAUUGUUUCUGUUCUUGAUGGAAUUGUCACUGCUCGGGUUUAGGAGCUGGAAACAGGAGAGAUUCGCCAACUGAAAUUGGCGGGAAAAGACGUCAUUAACAAACUAAAUCGAAAAAGAGAGAAAUGCGGUGAGCGUGGAUCGAACACGCGACCUUCAGAUCUUCAGUCUGACGCUCUCCCAACUGAGCUAUCCCCGCCUGUUUGUUGCUUCUUUUCUGUUAAGCAUUAUGAAGCAAUAAACUUAUUCUAUAACACAUGCAUUUUGCGAGGACAUCUGUGCAUCAUUUCUGCUUUCCGUGCUUUUGCGGUUGUUACUGGGAAAGAAUUUCACAUUAGAUUGAAUUUUCUGGUAAGUUGAAAUCUCAACUUGGCUUAUUAUUGUGGCAAUUACCAGUUAUAUAUUUCAUGUUUAAGAAAUUAGGAUGCCUGUGAUGAAGUUUACGUUAGUUUUGGGGCUGGAAUUUAUUGUAGGAAACCUGUGAUGGAAAUGAAGCAAAUCCUAGACGCUGGUGUGUGUAGCAGCUGCACUUCUUAUACCUGAAGCCAUUGGCUUUCACAAAGAAAAGAGACGUCAUGAUGAUAGAAAACCAUGGAAACACUACAAUAUUUAAUAAUUUUAUUGACAUAAUUUUAUUUUUAUUAAUGUGAGAUUAGCACUUUGUCCGCGAAAAUUUCACCUACUAAUUCAUCGACAAAAUGUGUCUACAAGUAAUUUCAUUAUGUGUCGUUAAUUUUUUUGGUAAAAAAAAUUAAAAACUGAUGGUUUUAUAAAUGAAAAAUGCACGAAAAAAAAACAAUUCUUGCUGGAAAUACACGGAUGAAAUAAAUCUCUUAGGAUAUUUUAUAAAACAUUUCUAGGAAACUGCUUUUUUGUUUUCUUUCCAGUUUGCUUACAAGCCUUAACUUCAAUGGUCGUAAUGGUCGUGGUGCUAGACUGCUAGUAAUCUCAUUACUGAAACCUAACUCUGCCUUUAUUUCAUUACUGAAACUAUAAUCACUAACAACAUGUGUCUCUUUCAAAAAAAGAUAAAAAAAAGAUAACGUGUUCUGCAAAAGCCAAUUGAAGUAGGGAUGAGCUAGUGUAUCAAUUACUAUCCAUUCUUUAGGCAUCUUCCAAACACAUCCAUAGAAUUCUUCGUGCUCGCUUCAUCAUCUCGAAAAAUAAAGUUUUAAGCCAAGAUUGAAUUUUUAAAAUUUAGAGUGAGUAGUUACCUAUUAGAUAAAAAAGAAAAGGGAUUAAAAUGAACUUUUCAAAAAAAAAUUCAAAGUCAUUACCUAUGUAUUUUACAUGUUUUUUUUACUUUUGUCACCUGUCUCUCAAUUCCACUCUCUUCAAAAAUAAAAUAAAAUAUGCAAUUGGAUGUUAACUGAUGCUAAAAAAUAAAUUCAAUAACCAAUUUUGUUUUUUUUAAUCACCGUUGAAAUCUACAGUGGCAAUGAAUAUAAAAAGUAACUGUUGAUCUAGGUUUUGAUUUUCCGCUUGAUGGACUACAGGCCCUGCUUCUUCAGAAGAAACCCAAUUCUAAAUCAAUAUUAAUCGCAUCGGAAAAUCCCAUCCUUCUACUUUCGGCGUUUCUUAUUCACCAUGGCAUCCAGUCCAAUGGGAUUUUAAAACUCAAUUUUCAUUUUCACCUGCAAAACUUAAAAAAAAAAUAUCAUAAAACCUCAUAAAGUCUAUUUUCAAACAAAAACACCAUUUAAUCAUUUAAAACUCUAAAAUCCAUGAUCAGAAAUAACUUUAUAAAAAUUAAAUUGAAAUAAAUUACAAAAUUAAUUACUAAUUAGAGAAUGAAAUUCAAAAAACAAACAAAACCAAGAAGAAUGAUUCUUUUUUUAAAAUAAAACAAAUCACGUUCAGAUGUACACAAUUAGCACUAUCAAAAUUCAAAACAGGAGACACAUAAAAAAAAAAAGCACUUUGGUCAAUAUUGAUGGCUGGGUAAACAUACGUCUCAAAUUUGGGAACCUGAACCGUUGCAUUCUUUCUUCCCUUCCAGCCUCCAGGUACCCUGCCGUUUCACUCCAUUCCCACCGGAAACUUCUAUCUUUCUCAUAUUCCAGUUUAGUUUCGGCAUUUUUUAUUCACCAAUCAGUCCAACAGGUUUGUUCUCACUUAUCAAUCUGUUGAUGCUUCUCCUCUCUAGAAAAGAUUUUUAAUUGACAAACUUAUCAUUUAUCUAAUUAUAUGGUACAUAAUUUUUUUGAUUUACAUUUAAGAUUUUUUUUAUGUACAAAAUAUAUUGAAAAAUUCUAUAUGUUUAAUUUUUUUCUAUUAUGUAUGGAUAUUUUCAAUUUGAUUUUAAUUUCUAUAAAACAAAUAAAAAUUAUUAAUUAAAAAAAUCAAAAUAAAAAAAAUAAAACUAAACACUGGUGAACUUGAUAAGUCAAGCUAUGUGCCUGACACAUUAAGAAAAGACUCACGCGUAAAUGAAGAAAAGACUCACGCGUGGACCGGAAAGGUCAGGGACGCAUGAGUGUGGGCUCUCUUUUCUACAAAACGACGCUUUGUUGAUGGUGCUGCAGCAGCAAGAGAGGCAUAUAACCAAGGAGAAGUGGGGUGCUGACUGGUUGGUUGGUCAUUGACAGCUGGAGUUCAUUAUUUUGAUCCAUCACCAAAAAGAUUUUCGUCGGUGAAAAUGCAAAUGGAGAAGUUUUUAUUUUCGUAUCUGUCAUUCUAUGAUUAUGUCUUUUGAUAAAACAAAGUUUAAGGGCUACCUAAAAAAACAGAACAUGUGCAUCUAGAUUUGGUGGAUAGGUCACUCUAUUUAUUUUACGAUUUAAAAAUAUUUAUUUUAUUUAUUUAAUUUUAAAUUAAUAUUUUUUUAAUGUUUUUAGAUCAUUUUGAUAAACUGAUAUUAAAAAUAUUUCUUUUUUAAAUAAAUAUUUCCAAAUAAAAAAUAUUAUACUCACACUCUUGAACAUAAAAAAAAACCUACUCACAUGUUUAAAUUUUUUUUAAUAAAAAAAUGAAUACACAACGCUUUAUCUUUCCGUGUAAAUUCCACCCCCUCGAGUUAUUAAAAGUUGGAGUUUGAUUUUUAGGAUUUUAAAAGUUAAUUUUCAAUUUAUUUUUAUUUAAAAAACUUUAAAAAUAUUAUAGAAAAUUUUAAAAGAAAAAUAUUAUUUAAAGUGUAUUUGAGAUUGUCGUUAUAGUUGUUUUUAAAGUGUUUUUUAUUCAAAAAUAUAUCAAAAUAAUAUUUUUUUUAUUUUUUAAAAAUUAUUUUUAGUAUCAACGAAACAAAAUAAUCUAAAAAUAUUAUAAAAUAUUAAUUUAAAAUAAAAAAAUUUAAAUUUUGUCAAAAAUAUUUUUAGAACAGAAAAAUAAAUAAGGCUUUAAUCAUUUAAAACUCCAGAAAAUCCACGAUCAACAAAAUUAAUUCCUAAUAAGGGAAUGGCAUUCAAAAAAAUCAAAAAACAAACAUGAAGAAUGAUUUUUUUUUUAUUUUUUUUUUAAAAAAACAAAGCACGUUCAGAUGCACACACUUAGCACAAUCAAAAUUAGUGAACCAUACGUGUCAAAUUUGGCAACCUGAACAAUUUGUAUUCUUUCCUCCCUUCCGGCCUCCAGGUACCCUGAAAAUCCUCCCAACGUUGCCGUUUCACCUAUUCCCAUCGGAAACUUCCCUCUUUCUCAUAUUCCAGUUUAGUUUCGGCAUUUUUUAUUCACCAACCAGUCCAAUGGAUUUGUUCUCACUUAUCAAUCUGUUGAUGCUUCUCCUCUCCAGAAAGGAUAACGAUGUUUUCUUGAGUUUUAGCCACCACGACAUUGGCAAGAAUUUUGGCGAUCAUCUCUACAAGGACCUCAAUUCUGCUGGGAUUCGCACUCUUAGAGAUGAUGGUGGAAUCUACGCAGGACAAAAGUCUGAUAUCAAGAAAGCGUUACAGGAAUCCAGGAUAUCGGUUGUUGUGUUCUCUAAAGGCUAUGCUUCUUCAACAAAGUGCCUCGACCAGCUUGUGCACAUCAUGGAUGCCAGGAAUAAAACUAGGCUCCUUGUGCUUCCCGUUUUUUACAACGUUGAUCCGUCGGAGGUCAGUGAACAGAAAGGGUUGUUUGAAGAAGCAUUUGCUAAACACGAAAAAAGCUUCCAUAAGGAAAUGGCUAGAGUGGAAAGUUGGAGGGCCGCUCUUAAAGAAGCUGCAGACCUGGCAGGAAUGGUGCUGCAGCAAGACAGGUAUACAAGUAAUUGAAUAAUUGUUUUACCUUUUCAGAUCUUUGCCUUCCAGUUUUUUUCUGGAUAAUUUAACCUAGCAAUCAUCUAGAAAGGAAACACGAAUCUUAUCGAUUUAAAAUGGGUCAGUCUUAGCCUUUCAAUACCAGAUUUGAUUUGUUCUUGGUUCCAAAGGUUGCGCUGCACUUUGUUGUUGUGUUUAUUGAUUGUCAAGGAGUAAUCCCUAGGACUGAUCAUGCAUAUAAAAGAAAAAUAGGGACCACAAUGUAGAAAAAGCUCCCCUUGAACGCUACCAAAAAAAAGCAACUUUUUUAAUUUUUUUUUGUGUCAAUCUAAUCCUUUGUCUUUGAUUUUGUUUAAUUCAACCUUAUAAAUAAUGGUAUUUCGUAAUAGCAAUAUGUAAUAGCAAUAUAUAUAUAUAUAUAUUAAAAAACAAUUUUUCAUAGUGCAUACAAUAUAUAUAUAUAUAUAUUAAAAAACAAUUUUUCAUAGUGCAUACACGAAAGCAUACAUAAAAAACAAAUUAUAAAAUAAAAAAACUAUGCAACACAACCCUAUAAAUAAUUAUAUUUAGUAAUAGCAAUAUGUAAACAUGUAAAAUAAAAAACUAUGCAACACGACCCUAUAAACAAAACAAAACAAAUCCUAAAACAAAUUUUUUUUUACCAAAGAAAUAUAAUAAUAUAAAAAAGGGAAAAUUAUGAAAUUAAACACAAUUUUUUUUUUGUCUGUUUAAUAAAUAAUAUAGAAAAUUGAACAUGAACGAAGACUACGGCCGAACAUAUCAAACUUGGGCCGAGCACAUGAACGAAGACACUUUCUAAACAGAUUAAAAAACAAAACCCAACCUUUGGCCUUUCUUCUCUCUUUUUUCUUCCAACAAAGAAUCAAGUGAGAUCUGCAUCUCUUCCAACACAAAAAUCUUUGUUUCUUUCGACAUAUUUCUCUUCGUCAAACCGAUGGCUUUCAACCCAGUGACCCAAAUCUUAAUUCUUCUCUCGUUGAUGCCUAGUACUUACGAUGUGUUCUUGAGUUUCCGAGGCGAAGACACUCGCAGGAACUUCACCGACCACCUGUACAAAGCGUUAUCUAGAGAAGGGAUUCCCACUUUCAGAGACGACGAUGGAAUACGGAGAGGAGAGAACAUUGAGUCAGAAAUCAAUAAAGCAAUUCAAGAAACAAAACUAUCCAUUAUUGUGUUUUCUAAAAAGUACGCUUCUUCGAGAUGGUGUCUUGACGAGCUAGCGAUGAUCAUGGAACGUAGAACUGUUGGGCACAUAGUGUUUCCAGUUUUCUACGAUGUUGAUCCAUCUGAGGUGGGGACCCAAACAGGGAGGUAUGGUGAAGAGUUUGCUAAGCAUGAGAUACAUUUCAAGGACCGGGUGGAGG
Molecule: long non-coding RNA, 29879 nt
Filed under: Populus trichocarpa (black cottonwood)
Lineage: Eukaryota; Viridiplantae; Streptophyta; Magnoliopsida; Malpighiales; Salicaceae
Description: long non-coding RNA (PTRI_LNC001367)
Source: RNAcentral